GGUUGAGUUGGUGACGCGAGCCGGGGGAGUGCGAGGGGUUAAAGGGUUGUUCGGAAUUGCUUGUCGGGAGGGGGGCGGAGGUGGUUAGGUAAGUCUGAUGGGAAAGCCGUGGGCUAAACCUGGGAAUGGCAUUGGGUACUGGCGACCUAGAGUGCGGUAGAGGUUAGUGGAAUUCCCGGUGUAGCAGUGAAAUGCGUAGAUAUCGGGAGGAACAUCUGUGGCGAAGGCGACUACCGGGACCAGCACUGACACUGAGGCACGAAAGCGUGGGGAGCAAACAGGAUUAGAUACCCCAGUAGC
This 300-nucleotide ribosomal RNA is filed under the name uncultured Enterococcus sp. Its description in RNAcentral is "bacterial SSU rRNA". It matches the Rfam family "Bacterial small subunit ribosomal RNA", at positions 495 to 794 of the family's 1533-position model. Lineage: Bacteria; Bacillati; Bacillota; Bacilli; Lactobacillales; Enterococcaceae. The record is from RNAcentral.